Molecule: long non-coding RNA, 2378 nt
Filed under: Scleropages formosus (Asian bonytongue)
Lineage: Eukaryota; Metazoa; Chordata; Actinopteri; Osteoglossiformes; Osteoglossidae
Description: lncRNA (ENSSFOG00015024413.1)
Source: RNAcentral
UUAUUGUUUAAAACUAAUAUUUAUUUGUGUGUGUGUGUGUGUGUGUGUGUGUGUGUGUGUGUGUGUGUGUGUGUGUGUGUGUGUGUGGAACCCAUGACAGCCUGCAGACAACCUCCUGUAGGCUUCGAAAAAAAAGUCAGUGCACAUUCUGCGUGCAGUUCCUUAUACAUUCGGAAGUCAAAAGGGGGUUUUUUUGCACAAAUCGUCCUCUGACGUUAACUGCUUAAAUAAUAUACAUCCCCCGUGUACUAAAAUGUUUUUGCUGAUCUUACAAGCAUCCACGUUCAGUUCAUUACAAAAGUUAAAAUGAUCCGUUCAUUGAGGCUUCCUGGUCAACGACGGAGUUACUGCUGCGUUUCAUACCUCCGACCAGAAGGUGGCGGAAGAGAUUCUUUCUCCCCUAAUAAAUCGUGCAUCGUGACGUAUAAUUCAAGCGACGCAAAUUCUAAUGAUAUGAAAAACCGACGUAGUUCUCGUCGGACGGAUUGUUUGUAUUCCGGGCUGUUGGAUAUCAAUGCUGCGUUUCGUUUCUGCCUGGUGAUGGCAGAGUUUUGCCCUCUUCCCGCCUCAUGAUGUGUCAUGGAUGUGCCAGGGGUCGACACACCGCAGCCACUGUUCGGACCCCAAGUUGCCUGAAAGGGAGUGGUCGCCUGAAUCUGUGGACACACGCCCUGCCAUUUCAGCAUCUCCCACUCCACUGCAGUCCCAGUGGGGGAAGGUGGCGUAGAUCACCCAGGGAAUGGCCACGGUGGCCGGUGGACUUACCUGCCGUCAAGCUCUUUAAGAGGAACACGUUGGCAACUAAAUGCCUUUCCGCUUCUCUCGGUCAGUCCGAGCUUUUGUACAAGGUGGGGAACCCAGAGUGCCUCUGUCCUUGUGCUCCUCUAGAAAGCUCAAGAUCAGCACACCUUUCUCUGGCUCUCUCUUUGUUUACAGGUGUCCCGUUUGAGGGGUCCUCCUUGUACAUUCAGAGUUUAAAGGAACCCCAGGGGCAUCUGGCCGAAAACGCAGUCACCUCUUGUUCCUCAAAGUCAGCUGAUCAGAGGAAGAAACUGACAGGAAGAGGCACAGCGGAGGUUCUUCAGGCAACAAAGAGAUUGAGGCUCACAGCUUAUAAGGAAGUAAGAACCCUGUGUCUGUUGAUGAGGUUCUCCUUUAGAUUCCAGUACCGGUGCAGAGCCAGGAAGUCUCGCUUAGGGAGCCACAGAAAAGCCAAGCACUUGUAUCGGAUCUCCACACUCAGGGGCAAGAGGCUGCGAACCGAGGUGAUCAGAUACCUGUCCAAUCUGAGCGCGGAAUUGAAGGGAUUGACUAGAGAGGUAAAUGCUGACCAUCUGCUGAAACUGAAGGCUAAGAGUCUGACGGUGCGUGGGAGGGAUGGGGUAGGACCCGCAGAAAUGACCAUGGUGCAAGACGGCCACGUUAGCAACGUGCCUGUGGGUGGACACGGCCGUACCUCAGGGAGAAAGCGCACGCCCAAAUCGUGCGACUGCUGUGGUCACAGCUGUGGGUCCCUGUCAGAUAAGGCCCCGAGCUCAGAGAAACCUGAAAGGAGGGGUAGAAAGAAGAGGACACUGGAGACCAUGGAGGAGACCCCUCUGGAGACCACAAAGGAGACUCCUCUGGAGACGCAGUCAGCCAACAGCCCGCAGGAUGCUCAGCUCAACGGCACUGUAAGCCCGGAGGGUGAAACGGGUACUGACAUGGAAAUAGAGCAGCCAGCACCCGACUUGAUCAGCUUGAACCCACUGCGGGACCACCGUUACUGUAAGACUGAGGAUGGACAUGCAGACUCUGAAAUGGAGGACAGCAUGUCCACAAAUCCACUCACUGUGGAAGGCAGCGAUGAACAAAUACAGGACCUUAUUCACGACUUCUUGGAAUACUUUUAUGGGAAGUAUGGGAGCUUUAUUGCCCUUAGUGACAGUGAUGUACUGGAGCACCUAAAUAAUAAGUUGAACACUGACCUCUCUGACAGGCAAGUAGAACACCGUUAGUUUUACUGGAUCCUGCAUCAGUAUCUGUUUUCACUUGUGUAUAUCUUGUGUGUCAUGUAUGAGCUCUCCAGACUGGCACAAAACCGAUUCCUUUUUAGAUCUUUAAUUCUUCAAGUCACCAUGACUCGAACCUGAGUCGAUGGCACUUAUGUCAUGUAUGCUUGAGUCCACAAGGUGAGGCAUGCAGAAUUAUUUAAAUUAGAUGGGUUUUGCUGUACUCUUCUCUUCUUCUUCUUCUUGUCAUUCAACUCAUUCCUGCAGUUAAACUUGUAAGUGUGGCUGAACUUUUGUACUUAAAAUGGGGAGCUACACAGUUGUCCUAACUUCGUAUUCACUUUUUGUUGGGAUAUACAUUAUAUUAUAUAUAUAUAUAUAUAUAUA